AAUCAAGCUCUCCCAAUAAACGUGUGCAGAAGGAUCCUGUUGCAGCAUCGUUCUUCCUGGCCAGUUGAGCGCGCGCAAGAAGACCUCCUGUGUCUGUCUGUCCAGGGGUGAGCUAAGGGCACUGGAGAUCAGCUGAUACUAUGAGGCUGGCCUAACAAAAGGGUGAAAUUCAGAAUAGGAGGGCAGAAUCUUCGAGAUGACCAUUCUACAUCCCUAUUGCUGUCCCCAAUGCCUGCUGCUGCUCUCUUAGACUCUUCUUGGGUAUCAUUGUUGUUGAUACUUCUCAGCUGAGCCCCAUUCCACCUAGGACCCCUUUGGACUCACCACUAUGAGAAAAACAUCCCCAUGCCAAGAGGAAGUCUUUCCUGUCUCCUCAUGGUGUAACUGAGCCAGCAGAUGUUAAAGGUCAGUAGCACAGAUUGUCUUCAAUGGCAAGGAAGCCAUUGUGUGAGAAA
This 455-nucleotide long non-coding RNA is filed under the name Mus spicilegus (steppe mouse). Its description in RNAcentral is "lncRNA (ENSMSIG00000020780.1)". Lineage: Eukaryota; Metazoa; Chordata; Mammalia; Rodentia; Muridae. The record is from RNAcentral.